This 424-nucleotide ribosomal RNA is filed under the name uncultured bacterium. Its description in RNAcentral is "bacterial SSU rRNA". It matches the Rfam family "Archaeal small subunit ribosomal RNA", at positions 322 to 746 of the family's 1478-position model. The record is from RNAcentral.
CCUANGGGGGGCAGCAGGCGCGAAAACUUUACAAUGCUGGAAACAGCGAUAAGGGGACCUCGAGUGCCAGGUUACAAAUCUGGCUGUCGUGAUGCCUAAAAAGCAUUGCAUAGCAAGGGCCGGGCAAGACCGGUGCCAGCCGCCGCGGUAACACCGGCGGCUCGAGUGGUAACCGUUAUUAUUGGGUCUAAAGGGUCUGUAGCCGGCCGGAUAAGUCUCUUGGGAAAUCUGGCAGCUUAACUGUCAGGCUUUCAGGAGAUACUGUCUGGCUCGAGGCCGGGAGAGGUGAGAGGUACUUCAGGGGUAGGGGUGAAAUCUUGUAAUCCUUGAAGGACCACCAGUGGCGAAGGCGUCUCACCAGAACGGACCUGACGGCAAGGGACGAAAGCUAGGGGCACGAACCGGAUUAGAUACCCCANUANUC